This 460-nucleotide ribosomal RNA is filed under the name uncultured bacterium. RNAcentral's name for it is "partial 16S ribosomal RNA". It matches the Rfam family "Bacterial small subunit ribosomal RNA", at positions 338 to 795 of the family's 1533-position model. The record is from RNAcentral.
CCUACGGGAGACAGCAGUGAGGAAUAUUGGUCAAUGGACGCGAGUCUGAACCAGCCAAGUAGCGUGAAGGAUGACUGCCCUAUGGGUUGUAAACUUCUUUUAUAUGGGAAUAAAACGUUCCACGUGUGGGAUUUUGUAUGUACCAUAUGACUAAGGAUCGGCUAACUCCGUGCCAGCAGCCGCGGUAAUACGGAGGAUCCGAGCGUUAUCCGGAUUUAUUGGGUUUAAAGGGAGCGUAGGUGGAUUGUUAAGUCAGUUGUGAAAGUUUGCGGCUCAACCGUAAAAUUGCAGUUGAAACUGGCAGUCUUGAGUACAGUAGAGGUGGGCGGAAUUCGUGGUGUAGCGGUGAAAUGCUUAGAUAUCACGAAGAACUCCGAUUGCGAAGGCAGUUCACUGGACUGCAACUGACACUGAGGCUCGAAAGUGUGGGUAUCAAACAGGAUUAGAUACCCCUGUAGUC